RNAcentral lists this ribosomal RNA (468 nucleotides) under uncultured bacterium. RNAcentral's name for it is "partial 16S ribosomal RNA". It matches the Rfam family "Bacterial small subunit ribosomal RNA", at positions 28 to 507 of the family's 1533-position model. The record is from RNAcentral.
GACGAACGCUGGCGGCGUGCUUAACACAUGCAAGUCGAACGGAAAGGCCCUGCUUUUGCGGGGUGCUCGAGUGGCGAACGGGUGUGUAACACGUGAGUAUCCUGCCCUUGACUUUGGGAUAACUUCAGGAAACUGGGGCUAAUACCGGAUAGGAGCUCCUGCUGCAUGGUGGGGGUUGGAAAGUUUGGGCGGUUGUGGCUGUACGCGCGGGUUACUAGCUUGUUGGUGGAGUACUGGCUUACCAAGGCUUAGACGGGUAGGCGGCCCGAGAGGGUGAACGGGGACAAGGGGACUGCGGUACGGCGCAGACUCCUACGGGAGGCAACAGGGGGAAAUCUGACACAGUGGGCGGAAGCCUGAUACGACGGUGCCCCGAGCGUGAAGACGGCCUACGGGUUGUGAACCGCUGUCGCCUGUGACGAAGCGGUAGUGACGGUAAUGAGUAAAGAAGCACCGGCUAACUACGUG